RNAcentral lists this ribosomal RNA (1287 nucleotides) under Enterobacter sp. HC1. Its description in RNAcentral is "partial 16S ribosomal RNA". The record is from RNAcentral. Lineage: Bacteria; Pseudomonadati; Pseudomonadota; Gammaproteobacteria; Enterobacterales; Enterobacteriaceae.
GGGGCGCGAAUCCUUGCUACGACUUCCCCCAGUCAUGAAUCACAAAGUGGUAAGCGCCCUCCCGAAGGUUAAGCUACCUACUUCUUUUGCAACCCACUCCCAUGGUGUGACGGGCGGUGUGUACAAGGCCCGGGAACGUAUUCACCGUAGCAUUCUGAUCUACGAUUACUAGCGAUUCCGACUUCACGGAGUCGAGUUGCAGACUCCGAUCCGGACUACGACGCACUUUAUGAGGUCCGCUUGCUCUCGCGAGGUCGCUUCUCUUUGUAUGCGCCAUUGUAGCACGUGUGUAGCCCUACUCGUAAGGGCCAUGAUGACUUGACGCAUCCCCACCUUCCUCCAGUUUAUCACUGGCAGUCUCCUUUGAGUUCCCGGCCGAACCGCUGGCAACAAAGGAUAAGGGUUGCGCUCGUUGCGGGACUUAACCCAACAUUUCACAACACGAGCUGACGACAGCCAUGCAGCACCUGUCUCAGAGUUCCCGAAGGCACCAAUCCAUCUCUGGAAAGUUCUCUGGAUGUCAAGAGUAGGUAAGGUUCUUCGCGUUGCAUCGAAUUAAACCACAUGCUCCACCGCUUGUGCGGGCCCCCGUCAAUUCAUUUGAGUUUUAACCUUGCGGCCGUACUCCCCAGGCGGUCGACUUAACGCGUUAGCUCCGGAAGCCACGCCUCAAGGGCACAACCUCCAAGUCGACAUCGUUUACGGCGUGGACUACCAGGGUAUCUAAUCCUGUUUGCUCCCCACGCUUUCGCACCUGAGCGUCAGUCUUUGUCCAGGGGGCCGCCUUCGCCACCGGUAUUCCUCCAGAUCUCUACGCAUUUCACCGCUACACCUGGAAUUCUACCCCCCUCUACAAGACUCUAGCCUGCCAGUUUCGAAUGCAGUUCCCAGGUUGAGCCCGGGGAUUUCACAUCCGACUUGACAGACCGCCUGCGUGCGCUUUACGCCCAGUAAUUCCGAUUAACGCUUGCACCCUCCGUAUUACCGAGGCUGCUGGCACGGAGUUAGCCAGUGCUUCUUCUGCGAGUAAGGGCAAUCACUAAGGUUAUGAACGUAAAUGCCUUCCUCCUCCCUCAAAUACAUUAACAACCCUAAUGCCUUCUUCAAACCCGCUGCAUGGCGGCAUCAAGGUUGGGCCCAUUGUGCAAUAUUCCGAGAGGUUGCUGCCCGUAGGAACCUGGACAGGGGGCCAUUUCAAAGGGGGCCGGUCAUCCGUGCGAAACAGCCCACGAAAAAAAGGCAAAGGGGGGCCCCUUGGCAGCGAGCAACCUAAUCACCCUGGGGCCA